AUGAUUUUGGAUUCAGGUAGAGCUAAUAUCUACUUCCCUUACCCAUCUCCCACAAAUCUGAAUGCCACACUGGCUUGUUUUAAGUUCAGAAUUAGGAAAUAUGAGUUCCAGUAUGAAUUCUACCACUACCUAUGGCGCUUCAGGUCUUCUCGAGGAGAUCACUUCCUGCCUAAUUCAGCUGAACUCCCAGCCAACUGGAACUCGACUUUGAGUUCUCAGCAGCUCAGCUGUUCAAAGACAGAUGGCUUAGGACUCAAAGAGGAAGGACACCCACAGCGGUCAAGGCCAGGAGACAUCCAAAGUACAGAGACUGCACUGUGGUCACUUGACUUCACCUGCUCUCAGGAUGCCUCUUGCACAGCUGACUCCAGUAUUUCCACCUUGCAAGAAGCAAGCCUCUGUACCUCCUCUUCACUUCUCAGAGGUCUGGACCUGUGGGAAGCCGUUGCAGAGUGACAGUUGCAGAGUGGCAGUUGGCUACUGCUGGCCACCACACAUACAUAGGCAGUGAAGGUUCUUUUGCCAAGACAAGUUAACCAAUCAGAUGUGAGACACGCCUCUCCUAGGCCUAUAAAAGCAGCACCAGUUCUGGGCUUGGGGUCACUUUGCCUCUACAAUCAAGUUCUCCCAAUAAACGUGUGCAGAAGGAUCCUGUUGCA
This 659-nucleotide long non-coding RNA is filed under the name Mus spicilegus (steppe mouse). RNAcentral describes it as "lncRNA (ENSMSIG00000001815.1)". The record is from RNAcentral. Lineage: Eukaryota; Metazoa; Chordata; Mammalia; Rodentia; Muridae.